This is a long non-coding RNA of Panthera uncia (snow leopard), 1221 nucleotides long. RefSeq lists it as uncharacterized. Lineage: Eukaryota; Metazoa; Chordata; Mammalia; Carnivora; Felidae. The record is from RefSeq and is a predicted model, not a curated record. The transcript has 3 exons.
UCGCCGAGGAGGUGCUCUGCCGACACAAUCUACCGAAUGAGACCUGGAGGGGCCCCAAGGUAAGGGGAAUGAGAUGCUGAUGGGAUCUCAGCCCAACACACGGAAGCAAGAGAAGUGUGGAAUCUGCAAUUUACAUUCAUCGCUCUAAAUCCUAGGGUUCCCAAGCUAGCCUGGCCAGGGUGAGAGGUUGAUUGGCAGGAGGCCUCCUCAGGCUGCCCCGCCUCCCAGCCUCAAGCCUCCGGAACAGGGUCUGCUCAGACAACAGGCCUCACGGAGGAAGCAAGCCUGAGGACACCAGCUUAACCUUGACAGCUCUGUCUCCACCAAGAUGUCAACUCCCUGUCUUGUCUCCACAACUACUAGCUGAGGGGAGGUAAGCCUACGUGUAAAAAAAGGCACCUCGGAGAAGGAAGAGCAGGCUGGACCUGGAGUCUGAAGACUAUAACCACAGCUAACAUUUACUGAGCACUUACUAAGUGCCCGGCCUUCGGUGAAGGACUCAACAAGGAUGAUCCCACACGAUAACCUUAUGAAGUAGGCACUGAUAUCAUCCCCACAUUACAGCUGACAAACUGAGGUUUGAAGAGGUUAAGUGACUUCCCCAAGGUUCCUGGAAUGUAUUGGAUGGUGGCCUCCAAAAAAAGACAGAAAAGAAGACAGAGUGAAGCCUCGGGAAGACGGAGGCAGAGAUUGGAGUGACGUGGCCACAGGAAGUGCCAACCACCACGGGAAGCUGGGAACAGCAAGGAGUGGAGCCUUUGAAGGGAACACGGACGGCCCUGCCAGCACCUAGAUUUCGGAUUUCUGGCCUCCAGAACUGUGAGGCCAUCAUGGAGCUUUUGGACCUCACCGCAGAUGUUCUUCUGAGUCGAAUCUUUCCAGAGCUGGGCCUUCCUGCCUAUCACACCGUGUUCAGUACUGCCUCCUAAAGUCACUCUGAGUUGUGUCUCCAGGAAAUGAGAGGGUGUCCCCACCUUGUCCCGCACUCACCCUCCAUCUUUGCACGUGGGGGCACUCCUUCCCUCACAACAGUGCCCGUGGGAGCAACCUAAGAAAGAGCCAACCUAUAUGGGAUUUGGAUGUCUGACCUUGGCCAAUUAGUACCUUGCUCGGUGUAACCAACCGAGUCACAGAUUCAAUUCAAUUCAGCAAACAUUUAUCAAGCCUCUCAGCGCCAACCGAUUCCCGUCUGUUCUAGAAGUGCAACGAAGCUCAGCCUUG